GGGAUAUCUCUCAAGGUGAAACUCACAUAGGUCAAUUAGCUAAUGUUGCAUCCCUCUUGAUAGUACGGCAUACCUAUACUCAAGGGUAAAUAUAAAUACCAUAACAUUCACUUGAGCUUGUAAGUCUUCAUUCUUGCCAUACUUUGAUCUUUAGAUACUUGAGAGCUUUCAACCUAACCUUCAACUUGAGCUUGUGACUUAAGAUUCUCUUUUGUCCAUGAUAAAGUAUGCUUGAAUUUUUAAGCCACUCCAUUUUACCAACCAUAAUAGAUUCAACUCAAUGCAUUGCUUCCCUCGGUAAGGCCUAGAAAUGAUACCUCAAAACCCCCCGGAUACUAGCCACUUCACCCUAGCAAAACUUCC
RNAcentral lists this long non-coding RNA (363 nucleotides) under Setaria viridis. Its description in RNAcentral is "long non-coding RNA (SVIR_LNC002132)". The record is from RNAcentral. Lineage: Eukaryota; Viridiplantae; Streptophyta; Magnoliopsida; Poales; Poaceae.